RNAcentral lists this long non-coding RNA (1524 nucleotides) under Homo sapiens (human). Its description in RNAcentral is "HSALNT0365335". The record is from RNAcentral. Lineage: Eukaryota; Metazoa; Chordata; Mammalia; Primates; Hominidae.
CAAUUCUCCUGCCUCAACCUCCUGCGUAGCUGGGAUUACAGGCCUGCCCAUGGCUGCUCAUGGAACAAUCGGCUAGCGUUUCCUCCCCUCUGAGAUCCAUAAAAGCCGGCAGCUCAGCCAGAGCAGGGCAGAGGGCAGAGGACAGAGAGAUGAUGGGAUGACCCGCUGCAGAGAGGAGCUACCCUCCUGCUGAGAGCUUCAGAGACCUGCAGAGACUUCCAAAUGAUCUGCCUGCAGAGAUGAGCCACGCUUUCCAGGGCUUUCUCUCUGCUGAGAGCUGAGUACUUGAGGAGAGGGCCUGCCUAGGAGCCGACCUGACUACAGAGAGGAGCUGCCCACUGUGGGUCUCUUCUGUUCUAACACUAAAUAAAGCUCCUCUUUAUCUUCUUCACCCUUCACCUGUCUGCAUACUUUAUUCUUUAUUCUUCCUGGACGCAGGACAAGAACUCAGGGCAAAGGUGCCACUGGCCACAGAGGUUUUCAGGAAGAAAAUUGACACCCCAAAGAUUGCCACCGGCUACAGAGGCUUCCAGAAAGAAAAUUGACACCUCAAAGAUCCCGUAACAGUUCCUCUCUAGGUUAUAGGACAGCUGCCAAUUACAAUAAGGCCUGCUCACUUUCUUCUUUACAUUCAGCAGAGAGAAAUUGCCUCUCCCUAAGCCAUCAGACAGUCUAUCUUCAGUCUUUUGGGGUCAGUUUGCGAUGCUACCCAAACAAUGUAGGGCUGGUUCCUUGAAGCAAUCACUGAUUGGCUUGCUGGCCAGGGCCCAUCUACUGAGUUCAGGUCAGUUCCUCAAAGCUCACUGCUGCAACAUGAUGGAAAGUGGGGGUGAAUGUUGAGGAAUCAACUACUCUAUCCACUACAAAAGAUUUCCUCAGAAAACGCUCAUGUUUUUACUAAACUGACGCUUGACUGUACAUUUAUUUUGAAGUUUGCUAAGAUGAAAGGAAUUUUAGUAUUUCUUACAGUUAGUGUCUAAGGUAGAUCUCUGGAAAGGUUACGUGCCAUCUUGAAUUGCAGUUAGAUUUCAGACAAUUCAUGAAAUAUCAAUAUUCAAAUAUAAAUAGGAAGUAUAAACUGAUUUUUAACCUAAUUUUUAAAAAGUCAGUUAUUAGAUAAAAUAAUGUUAAAGUAAAAAUUGUAGCUAAGCAUUAAAGGCAAUAAAUAUGUCCAAAGACAUACAUAGAGAGAUUCUUUCAAUUGGAGGAAGACCACUCCCCUAAUAAUCUAAGGUUGCCUUACAUGACAGCUACAGUGCAUAAACACUCAAACAUAAUUUUAUUCUUGAGCUGCAGAAAAUUUAAACAUUUGUGUGAUAUCGUCUACAUAUAUGGAAUAUACGCAUUCCUUUCGCUCUUCAAAAUUUCUGUAAGGAAGUAAUAUAUGCACAUCGCAACAAAAUUCAACCAGCACCAAUAGUUUUUUAAGUCUCUUUCUCACUCAAAUUUCCCCAGAAUCUUCCUUCUUAAAGGCCUAAGAUUAUCAGUUUCUUGUGUGUUCUUCCCUAAAUAUUCUGUAUAUAA